UACGGAGGGGGCUAGCGUUGUUCGGAAUUACUGGGCGUAAAGCGCACGUAGGCGGACUGGAGAGUCAGGGGUGAAAUCCCGGGGCUCAACCCCGGAACUGCCUUUGAAACUCCCGGUCUUGAGGUCGAGAGAGGUGAGUGGAAUUCCGAGUGUAGAGGUGAAAUUCGUAGAUAUUCGGAGGAACACCAGUGGCGAAGGCGGCUCACUGGCUCGAUACUGACGCUGAGGUGCGAAAGCGUCGGGAGCGAACAGG
RNAcentral lists this ribosomal RNA (253 nucleotides) under uncultured bacterium. RNAcentral's name for it is "partial 16S ribosomal RNA". It matches the Rfam family "Bacterial small subunit ribosomal RNA", at positions 524 to 776 of the family's 1533-position model. The record is from RNAcentral.